RNAcentral lists this ribosomal RNA (200 nucleotides) under uncultured Glomus. RNAcentral describes it as "partial small subunit ribosomal RNA". It matches the Rfam family "Eukaryotic small subunit ribosomal RNA", at positions 591 to 797 of the family's 1831-position model. The record is from RNAcentral. Lineage: Eukaryota; Fungi; Glomeromycota; Glomeromycetes; Glomerales; Glomeraceae.
CCAAUAGCGUAUAUUAAAGUUGUUGCAGUUAAAAAGCUCGUAGUUGAAUUUCGGGAUCAAUAUGCCGGUCAUGCCUUGGUAUGCACUGGUAUCUUUGAUUUCUCCCUUCUGACGAACUUUGAUGUCAUUAAUUUGGUGUCAUAGGGAAUCAGGACUGUUACUUUGAAAAAAUUAGAGUGUUUAAAGCAAGCUCACGCUUG